CGGAUAAAAAAAAUUACCCAUUAAAAUUUCGGGUAUAGGUCCGGAUAUUUUAUACCCAUACCCGAUUUGGACCCGACCCGAACCUAACUUUUAAAUGGGUAGGGUCCGGAAUAGUUUUCAAAUCCGGACCCGGACCCGGACCCGAUGAAAUAUCCGAUAGUAAAUAAAAAAAAAUAAACUUUUGAAGUUGAAGGAUCAAUUUUAAUAUGACUUAUAGAUGAUGAGUCACUAUGUAUUUUCAUCCUAAUGAAACCCUAGCCGUCUCUUUUACUCAUUACUUUUUUCUAAUUUUUUUACUCUUUGUUUUCUACUCUUUUUUUUCAUUUCAUUUCCGCCAACAAUAUUUCAUUGUCAACAAUAUAGUUUGUUUAUUGACUAUUUAAUAAAGUUUAUAAAAAAAUAUAUUUAUACGGAUAUCCGUACCCGAUUUAGACCCGAUCCAUAUCCGAUUUUGAACGGGUAGUAUACGGGUAGUCACUAUCCAGACCCGCUCAAAUGGACCCGAUGGGUAUAU
This 514-nucleotide long non-coding RNA is filed under the name Ananas comosus (pineapple). RNAcentral describes it as "long non-coding RNA (ACOM_LNC012119)". The record is from RNAcentral. Lineage: Eukaryota; Viridiplantae; Streptophyta; Magnoliopsida; Poales; Bromeliaceae.